AUCUUCAAACUUGAAACAUGAAGAAACGAUAUUUCCAGUUCCGCACAGGAGCAAGCAGACCAGGAAAUGCGAGGAGGAAGUGGAAUUUUUAGCUUUAGGAAAGGCUGACAGAGAUGGAGCCGGAUAUCUCAUGCAGUUAGAGGACAUUCCCAGUCGGGGAAGAGGAUUCCGCUACAAUAGGGACGGAGGCUGAUGUUUAAAGGGAUGAGGCUGAGGUGGAUGUUCAAAGAGCCGUGUGAGAUCUCCUCAGGCUUUACACGGACAACACCAAUUAUGAAGAUGUCCCCUUUUUCAGACUCAGCUGUCAUCCCACCUCCUAAAGCAUGGGAAAUAAUAACAGGAAGAUGUGUGACUGGGCAGUCGCUUCUGCUGUCCGUUGCUGCUUGAGUGCAACGUAUGGUCAGGUGGUGACUUACACAUUCUCAAGUUGGACGCUGCAGGUACUUUUGGAGACCAUACCAGCAGUUAGUUUUUGCGUAUCAAUUUCCUGUAUUUCAGAAGAGCAGCGCAAAGAAGUAAAUAUCUCAGCAGAGGGGGCCAGGUAACCUGUUCCGUCCAUCUUGACCACAAGCCAUCAAGGGGGCACCUGUUUUGGCCCGAGGACUCGUGGAAAGUUCCGAUUCCCGACACCGGCCAAUCCCGCUGGUCGCAUCCCCCCGCCCUCCGGCAGAAUUCGGAGAAGAAUCAUCCCCGAAGCUCAGGGGUCCAGGGCUCUGUUAUGAGCAGAUCUGCAUAACAUCAUCCACACUAAAAUGAAAAGCAGAGUCAGUGCGAGAAACAAAGUAUCUUCAGGUAGAAGAGAAACAAGCUAAUUCUACAAACAAGGAAAUGGCGGCACAGACAUGAAACUCAAAGAUAGGCUCAGACGACAGAGAUAUCGAAUGGAGCCGCAGAGAGUGUGGAAACAUCACACGCUGGCAGUGUGCCGGCUAAGGAAGCAGUUCAGAACAUCUCGCCAUGGACGGCGAUCAGAGUGCCGGUUCACAACGGUCCAGGCUCCGCCAUUUUAUUAGAGUCGCUGUCUGGGAAAGAAUAGAGGCUGGUUUUGCAAUCGGCGUCCGAGUGACAUGUGACAACACGCCUGACAAGAUGGCCUGUCCCUCCGCGGGGCCGGCAAAUGCACGCAAGGGGCCGCAGCAGAAUUCUGAAGAAGGUGAACUUCACGCUCGCGUAAUCUCUGUCUGCGAUUGGCUUCUCGCUCAGGGGAGCAAAGCCGAUUGGCUGGG
This is a long non-coding RNA of Paramormyrops kingsleyae, 1226 nucleotides long. RefSeq lists it as uncharacterized. The record is from RefSeq and is a predicted model, not a curated record. NCBI's taxonomy places the organism in Eukaryota, Metazoa, Chordata, Actinopteri, Osteoglossiformes, Mormyridae.